CAGCCUCCACGGUAAUACGUAGGGUGCGAGCGUUAAUCGGAAUUACUGGGCGUAAAGCGUGCGCAGGCGGUUCGUUAAGACAGAUGUGAAAUCCCCGGGCUUAACCUGGGAACUGCAUUUGUGACUGGCAAGCUAGAGUAUGGCAGAGGGGGGUGGAAUUCCGCGUGUAGCAGUGAAAUGCGUAGAUAUGCGGAGGAACACCGAUGGCGAAGGCAGCCCCCUGGGCCAAUACUGACGCUCAUGCACGAAAGCGUGGGGAGCAAACAGGAUUAGAUACCCGCGUAGUCCCUGUCUCUUAUAC
This 301-nucleotide ribosomal RNA is filed under the name uncultured bacterium. Its description in RNAcentral is "partial 16S ribosomal RNA". It matches the Rfam family "Bacterial small subunit ribosomal RNA", at positions 509 to 807 of the family's 1533-position model. The record is from RNAcentral.